This 294-nucleotide signal recognition particle RNA is filed under the name Microcebus murinus (gray mouse lemur). Its description in RNAcentral is "Metazoan signal recognition particle RNA (ENSMICG00000035429.2)". It matches the Rfam family "Metazoan signal recognition particle RNA". From Rfam's summary of the family: The signal recognition particle (SRP) is a universally conserved ribonucleoprotein. Lineage: Eukaryota; Metazoa; Chordata; Mammalia; Primates; Cheirogaleidae. The record is from RNAcentral.
GCCAGGUGCAGUGGUGCAUGCCUGUAGUCCCAGAGGCUGAGGCAGGAGGUUCCCUUGAGUCCGGACAUUGGUUCUGGGCUGUAGUGCACUAUGCCAAUCGGUUGUCUGCACUAAGCUCGGCAUCAAUAUGGUGACCUCCUAGGAGUGGGGGAUCACCACGCUGCCUAAGGAGAGCUGAGCUGGCCCAGGUCAGAAACAGAGCAAGUCAAAACUCACGUGCUGAUCAGGAGUGGGAUCAUGCCUGUGAAUAGCCACUGCACUCCAGCCUGGGCAAUGUACCCAGACCCUGUUUCU